Molecule: ribosomal RNA, 468 nt
Filed under: uncultured bacterium
Lineage: Bacteria
Description: partial 16S ribosomal RNA
Rfam family: Bacterial small subunit ribosomal RNA
Source: RNAcentral
GACGAACGCUGGCGGCGUGCUUAAUACAUGCAAGUCGAACGGAAAGGCGCUGCUCUUGUGGGGUUCUCGAGAGCCGAACGGGUGAGUAACACGUGAGUAACAUGCCCCUGUAUUUGGGAUAAAUUCAGGAAACUCGGGCGAAUACCCGAUAGGAGCUCUUGCUGCAUGGGGGGGGUUGGAAAGUUUCGGCGGUUGGGGAUGGACUCGCGGCUUAUCCGCUUGUUUGUGGGGUAGUGGCUUACCAAGCCUUUGACGGGUAGCCGGCCUGAGAGGGUGACCGGCGACAAUGGGACUGCGAUACGGCCCAGACUGCUACGGGCGGCAGCAGUGGGGAAUAUUGCGCAAUGGGCGGAAGCCUGAUGCGGCGACGCCGCGUGCGUGAUGCCGGCCUACGGGUUGUGAACCGCUUUCGACGGUGACGAGGCGUGCGUGACGGUAAUGGGUCAAGAAGCAACGGCUAACUACGUG